AGUAUGUGAUCCCACUGAGUAAAGCAGAGAAGAGGGUGGAAAAAAUUUGGCAGAAAAGAAAAUUUGGUGUGACCAUUAUCAUACACCUUCAUCUCUCUCACCCCAUUCUCCUGUGCACCUUUCUUCCACUAGAAUAUUUCUUGGAUUCACUUUCCUGUCUGUGACUCUCAUGGGGACAAUGACCCAUCAUGUCUAUGAAUUUCUCUUUCUUCAAAAACAUAAACACUAACAAACAAUUAAUUAAUCUCUCACACUCUUUCUUUUUUCCAUGGUCACUCUCAUUACAACCUGCAAGUCCUUUUUCGUCUUUACAGUUUUCGUUUUCUUUAUAACUCUGCUCGCCACUCUUGCAUCUCUUCAGCGCAGGAAUCAAUAAAACCACCCCAGAAUUAGGGUUUCUGCCACCCAUGCUUUUCAGUUUUAGCUCUAAGGAAAAAAAGAUGUACAUGUACUGCAGAGUUCCAUUACAGCUUAGUCACAUUGGGAAGGAAAGAGAGUGAAGGAGCUUCCCUCAGCCCAUUCAUGGACACAGAAUAAGAUUGGGUUGCAAAAUUAACCACUAAUUGAUUCACACAAUAGUAUUGAGUUAGGGUGAUGCUGUUUUUGCUGUGAUAUGAUUGUGUGAAUGAAGUGGUGCAUAUAUAUUGUGACCCUCUUUCUCUGUGCUUGGACUGAAGGGAGCUCCUUCUUUCUGUUGCCUCCAUUUGUAUCCAUCUCUGAGAUGGCUUUAUGCAUGUCUAAGCUUAAUCUAUAUAUACUUAGCACAAAAAAGGUGAGACCAGUACACUGUAGCUGAUGUUACAUAUCAUCUUCUGGAUCUUUGUAAGUAUCUACUCUCUGCCAAAACUGCACAAGAUUCAGCAAAAACAUCUGCACAGUUGCAUAUGAACAGUUAUAUACAUGCACUAAUUUCUUUAGCUUAGUCUUUAAAAAUGAUCACUACAUAUGAAUUUAUGUUAUCACUUUGUACACAAAACUCUAUGCCACUUCCUUUCAGGUUAUUUGGUACCAGUUUCUCUUCGAUCUCUUUCUCUCUACAGUACUUUUCUGAGUUCUUCCUUUGGGGUUUGGGAAAGCAAAAUUUAGGUUAAAAUGAGUGUGAAGAAAGGAGAAUAUUAGUAUGGAGUGAGAAGAAAAAGCAUUGAAGGUGUGCAUUACUCAUUUCAAUGCACCAAUUAUUCCAUCUCUUUCAUUUUCCAAGGUGUGAGUAAAGAAAUGCUGCUAUAGUCCACGUUGGGAUGUUCCUUCUGGCUUUAACACAGAGCAAAAUGCAUUAGUUAAAUAUUGAUUCUCCUCUACACUCAGAGAAGUGCACCUGCAAAUUUUCAUUAAACAUAUUGAAUGGCAUUAACUAUAAACAGUAAUCUGUUAUGUCUUUUUUUGCCUAGAACAGAUAGUUUACCCUAUAAUAAUGAGAUUUAGUGUAAAUGUGGCUUUGAAAUUAGUGAUAAAUACUUCUGACAUGUAUGCAGCAUAAAGCUGAAACUAUUCUGGUUUUUCCUCAACUUCACUGGGAACAUUUGAAUUAGUGUACAGUCAGGUGUGUGCCACCCCAUAUUAAAUUUCAUAUAUAGAAGAAAAAAUAUACAAAUAUUUUA
Molecule: long non-coding RNA, 1598 nt
Organism: Vigna unguiculata (cowpea)
Lineage: Eukaryota; Viridiplantae; Streptophyta; Magnoliopsida; Fabales; Fabaceae
Source: RefSeq, a predicted model, not a curated record